This 495-nucleotide ribosomal RNA is filed under the name uncultured bacterium. Its description in RNAcentral is "bacterial SSU rRNA". It matches the Rfam family "Bacterial small subunit ribosomal RNA", at positions 325 to 834 of the family's 1533-position model. The record is from RNAcentral.
CACGGCCCAAACUCCUACGGGAGGCAGCAGUGGGGAAUAUUGCACAAUGGGGGAAACCCUGAUGCAGCAACGUCGCGUGAAGGACGAAGGUUUUCGGAUCGUAAACUUCUAUCAGUAGGGAAGAAAGAAAUGACGGUACCUAACUAAGAAGCCCCGGCUAACUACGUGCCAGCAGCCGCGGUAAUACGUAGGGGGCAAGCGUUAUCCGGAAUCACUGGGUGUAAAGGGUGCGUAGGCGGCAAUAUAAGUCAGAUGUGAAAGUCCGGGGCUCAACUCCGGGGGUGCAUUUGAAACUGUAUGGCUAGAGUACAGGAGAGGAAAGCGGAAUUCCUAGUGUAGCGGUGAAAUGCGUAGAUAUUAGGAGGAACACCAGUGGCGAAGGCGGCUUUCUGGACUGUAACUGACGCUGAGGCACGAAAGCGUGGGUAGCGAACAGGAUUAGAUACCCUGGUAGUCCACGCCAUAAACGAUGAGUGCUAGGUGUCGGGGGUCAAA